This 73-nucleotide transfer RNA is filed under the name Halogranum rubrum. RNAcentral's name for it is "tRNA_Ser_TGA". It matches the Rfam family "tRNA". Rfam says of the family: Transfer RNA (tRNA) molecules are approximately 80 nucleotides in length. Lineage: Archaea; Methanobacteriati; Methanobacteriota; Halobacteria; Halobacteriales; Haloferacaceae. The record is from RNAcentral.
GAGCCGAUAGUCCAGCGGACGACGAUCUAUGCCUUGAAUGCACAGAACCGAGGUUCGAAUCCUCAUCGGCUCG